RNAcentral lists this ribosomal RNA (396 nucleotides) under uncultured bacterium. Its description in RNAcentral is "partial 16S ribosomal RNA". It matches the Rfam family "Bacterial small subunit ribosomal RNA", at positions 360 to 774 of the family's 1533-position model. The record is from RNAcentral.
AAUAUUGCACAAUGGGGGAAACCCUGAUGCAGCGACGCCGCGUGAGCGAAGAAGGCCUUCGGGUCGUAAAGCUCUGUCCUAAGGGAAGAAACGGACGGUACCUUAGGAGGAAGCCCCGGCUAACUACGUGCCAGCAGCCGCGGUAAUACGUAGGGGGCGAGCGUUGUCCGGAAUUAUUGGGCGUAAAGGGUUCGUAGGCGGUUUUUUAAGUCAGAUGUGAAAGGUCACGGCUCAACCGUGGUAAGCAUUUGAAACUGAAAGACUUGAGUUAAGGAGAGGAAAGUGGAAUUCCUAGUGUAGCGGUGAAAUGCGUAGAUAUUAGGAGGAAUACCGAUGGCGAAGGCAGCCCCCUGGGAUAAUACUGACGCUCAGACACGAAAGCGUGGGGAGCAAACA